AGGCUGAAUUACGCUCAAUGCAAGAAGCAGCACAGUGGAGAAGAUCCCAAGGCAUAUCAAUGGAAGGCGAUGCAGAGCUCCUAGCAGCAAACCGAGGUUAAACCUGUACCUAAGAGACGAGUGGAUGACGAACCCUUCCUCCUGAAAGAAAGACCGGGGUGCCUGUGCAGCAAUCAACCACGACAUUUAGCAGAAAUGCUAGAGAAGGACGCGGAGACACUACAGCCUGGACUGAUACUCCUAUGGACAAGCUGAAAGAGCAAAGAUGAA
Molecule: long non-coding RNA, 270 nt
Organism: Raphanus sativus (radish)
Lineage: Eukaryota; Viridiplantae; Streptophyta; Magnoliopsida; Brassicales; Brassicaceae
Exons: 3
Source: RefSeq, a predicted model, not a curated record